AUGUACUUAUAUUUUCUUUUGUUCUUAAUUCUCUUACAGUUCAAACAAGCAGUAUAUAAACAGACCAUGAAACUCUUUGCUGAGCUGGAAAUUAAAAGGAAAGAAAGAGAAGCCAAAGAGAUGCAUGAAAGGGCUGACCGUCCCCACGCGCCCUGUAAGAACUGCGGCCUGCUCCUCCUAGGAAACGACAGCGGGAAGAAGAGAUUGAAGCUCAAGAAAAAGCCAAACGCGAGCGGGAGUGGCAGAAAAACUUCGAGAAAGUCGAGAUGGGCGCGUGGACAGCUGGCGGAACUUCCAAGCAAAUACAAAGGGGAAGAAAGAGAAGAAGAACCGGACCUUCCUGAGACCACCGAAAGUAAAAAUGGAGCAGCUGGUGUCGCCGUGACUUCAGAGACGAGCCUGGGCCACCACAGGAAGCCCCCUUGCUUCAGUCGCUUGCUUCCGGGUGUGCCAUCCUCCGAAGCCCAGGUCACAGGAAGGCAGAGUGGGCAGAGAGAGCAGUUACACUCGUGCCCUGAUGCCCCCACCCCCGCCUGGUGUUUGGCACCUGUCCUCCCGUCUGCCCGACCAAUCAGUGUGGCAUGA
RNAcentral lists this long non-coding RNA (585 nucleotides) under Oryctolagus cuniculus (rabbit). RNAcentral describes it as "lncRNA (ENSOCUG00000017931.3)". The record is from RNAcentral. Lineage: Eukaryota; Metazoa; Chordata; Mammalia; Lagomorpha; Leporidae.